AGAGUUUGAUCAUGGCUCAGAUUGAACGCUGGCGGCAGGCCUAACACAUGCAAGUCGAACGGUAACAGGAAGCAGCUUGCUGCUUCGCUGACGAGUGGCGGACGGGUGAGUAAUGUCUGGGAAGCUGCCUGAUGGAGGGGGAUAACUACUGGAAACGGUAGCUAAUACCGCAUAAUGUCGCAAGACCAAAGAGGGGGACCUUCGGGCCUCUUGCCAUCGGAUGUGCCCAGAUGGGAUUAGCUUGUUGGUGGGGUAACGGCUCACCAAGGCGACGAUCCCUAGCUGGUCUGAGAGGAUGACCAGCCACACUGGAACUGAGACACGGUCCAGACUCCUACGGGAGGCAGCAGUGGGGAAUAUUGCACAAUGGGCGCAAGCCUGAUGCAGCCAUGCCGCGUGUAUGAAGAAGGCCUUCGGGUUGUAAAGUACUUUCAGCGGGGAGGAAGGGAGUAAAGUUAAUACCUUUGCUCAUUGACGUUACCCGCAGAAGAAGCACCGGCUAACUCCGUGCCAGCAGCCGCGGUAAUACGGAGGGUGCAAGCGUUAAUCGGAAUUACUGGGCGUAAAGCGCACGUAGGCGGUUUGUUAAGUCAGAAGUGAAAUCCCCGGGCUCAACCUGGGAACUGCAUCUGAUACUGGCAAGCUUGAGUCUCGUAGAGGGGGGUAGAAUUCCAGGUGUAGCGGUGAAAUGCGUAGAGAUCUGGAGGAAUACCGGUGGCGAAGGCGGCCCCCUGGACGAAGACUGACGCUCAGGUGCGAAAGCGUGGGGAGCAAAACAGGAUUAGAUACCCUGGUAGUCCACGCCGUAAACGAUGUCGACUUGGAGGUUGUGCCCUUGAGGCGUGGCUUCCGGAGCUAACGCGUUAAGUCGACCGCCUGGGGAGUACGGCCGCAAAGUUAAAACUCAAAUGAAUUGACGGGGGCCCGCACAAGCGGUGGAGCAUGUGGUUUAAUUCGAUGCAACGCGAAGAACCUUACCUGGUCUUGACAUCCACGGAAGUUUUCAGAGAUGAGAAUGUGCCUUCGGGAACCGUGAGACAGGUGCUGCAUGGCUGUCGUCAGCUCGUGUUGUGAAAUGUUGGGUUAAGUCCCGCAACGAGCGCAACCCUUAUCCUUUGUUGCCAGCGGUCCGGCCGGGAACUCAAAGGAGACUGCCAGUGAUAGACUGGAGGAAGGUGGGGAUGACGUCAAGUCAUCAUGGCCCUUACGACCAGGGCUACACACGUGCUACAAUGGCGCAUACAAAGAGAAGCGACCUCGCGAGAGCAAGCGGACCUCAUAAAGUGCGUCGUAGUCCGGAUUGGAGUCUGCAACUCGACUCCAUGAAGUCGGAAUCGCUAGUAAUCGUGGAUCAGAAUGCCACGGUGAAUACGUUCCCGGGCCUUGUACACACCGCCCGUCACACCAUGGGAGUGGGUUGCAAAAGAAGUAGGUAGCUUAACCUUCGGGAGGGCGCUUACCACUUUGUGAUUCAUGACUGGGGUGAAGUCGAAACAAGGUA
RNAcentral lists this ribosomal RNA (1501 nucleotides) under metagenome. RNAcentral describes it as "bacterial SSU rRNA". It matches the Rfam family "Bacterial small subunit ribosomal RNA". The record is from RNAcentral.